GGGCGAAAGCCUGACGCAGCAACGCCGCGUGAGGGAUGAAGGCCUUCGGGUUGUAAACCUCUUUCAGCAGGGAAGAAGCGAAAGUGACGGUACCUGCAGAAGAAGCACCGGCUAACUACGUGCCAGCAGCCGCGGUAAUACGUAGGGUGCAAGCGUUGUCCGGAAUUAUUGGGCGUAAAGAGCUCGUAGGCGGUUUGUCGCGUCUGCUGUGAAAACCUGGGGCUUAACUCCGGGCCUGCAGUGGGUACGGGCAGACUAGAGUGCGGUAGGGGAGACUGGAAUUCCUGGUGUAGCGGUGAAAUGCGCAGAUAUCAGGAGGAACACCGAUGGCGAAGGCAGGUCUCUGGGCCGUAACUGACGCUGAGGAGCGAAAGCGUGGGGAGCGAACAGGAUUAGAUACCCUGGUAGUCCACGCUGUAAACGUUGGGCGCUAGGUGUGGGGCUCAUUCCACGAGUUCCGCGCCGCAGCUAACGCAUUAAGCGCCCCGCCUGGGGAGUACGGCCGCAAGGCUAAAACUCAAAGGAAUUGACGGGGG
This 536-nucleotide ribosomal RNA is filed under the name uncultured bacterium. Its description in RNAcentral is "bacterial SSU rRNA". It matches the Rfam family "Bacterial small subunit ribosomal RNA", at positions 373 to 919 of the family's 1533-position model. The record is from RNAcentral.